CCUUGCAAGAAUUGGCACUAACACACCGGAUCCCAUCAGAACUCCGCAGUUAAGCGUGCUUAGGCUAAAGUAGUACUAGGAUGGGUGACCUCUUGGGAAGUGCUAGUGUUGCACCCU
Picea glauca (white spruce) is the source of this 117-nucleotide non-coding RNA. The record is from Rfam. Lineage: Eukaryota; Viridiplantae; Streptophyta; Pinopsida; Pinales; Pinaceae.